UACGGAGGGGGCAAGCGUUGUUCGGAAUUACUGGGCGUAAAGGGCGCGUAGGCGGCCUGUUAAGUCGAACGUGAAAUCCCCGGGCUCAACCCGGGAACUGCGUCCGAAACUGGCAGGCUCGAAUUCGGGAGAGGGAUGCGGAAUUCCAGGUGUAGCGGUGAAAUGCGUAGAUAUCUGGAGGAACAUCGGUGGCGAAGGCGGCAUCCUGGACCGAUAUUGACGCUGAGGCGCGAAAGCCAGGGGAGCAAACGGG
Molecule: ribosomal RNA, 253 nt
Filed under: uncultured bacterium
Lineage: Bacteria
Description: partial 16S ribosomal RNA
Rfam family: Bacterial small subunit ribosomal RNA
Source: RNAcentral